GACGAACGCUGGCUGCGUGCUUAACACAUGCAAGUCGAACGCUGAAGCCCCAGCUUGCUGGGGUGGAUGAGUGGCGAACGGGUGAGUAACACGUGAGUAACCUGCCCCUGACUUCGGGAUAAGCCCGGGAAACUGGGUCUAAUACCGGAUACGACUAUCGGACGCAUGUCUGGUGGUGGAAAGUUUUCUCGGUUGGGGAUGGGCUCGCGGCCUAUCAGUUUGUUGGUGAGGUAAUGGCUCACCAAGACGACGACGGGUAGCCGGCCUGAGAGGGCGACCGGCCACACUGGGACUGAGACACGGCCCAGACUCCUACGGGAGGCAGCAGUGGGGAAUAUUGCACAAUGGGGGAAACCCUGAUGCAGCGACGCAGCGUGCGGGAUGACGGCCUUCGGGUUGUAAACCGCUUUCAGCAGGGAAGAAGCCUUCGGGUGACGGUACCUGCAGAAGAAGUACCGGCUAACUACGUG
Molecule: ribosomal RNA, 470 nt
Filed under: uncultured bacterium
Lineage: Bacteria
Description: partial 16S ribosomal RNA
Rfam family: Bacterial small subunit ribosomal RNA
Source: RNAcentral